GAUGAACGCUAGCGGGAGGCCUAACACAUGCAAGCCGAGCGGUAGAGUUUCUUCGGAAACUUGAGAGCGGCGCACGGGUGCGUAACACGUGUGCAACCUACCUUUAUCUGGGGGAUAGCCUUUCGAAAGGAAGAUUAAUACCCCAUAAUAUAAUGAUUGGCAUCAAUUAUUAUUGAAAACUCCGGUGGAUAGAGAUGGGCACGCGCAAGAUUAGAUAGUUGGUGAGGUAACGGCUCACCAAGUCAAUGAUCUUUAGGGGUCCUGAGAGGGAGAUCCCCCACACUGGUACUGAGACACGGACCAGAAUCCUACGGGAGGCAGGAGUGAGGAAUAUUGGACAAUGGGUGAGAGCCUGAUCCAGCCAUCCCGCGUGAAGGAUGACCGUCCUAUGGAUUGUAAACUUCUUUUGUACAGGGAUAAACCUACCCUCGUGAGGGUAGCUGAAGGUACUGUACGAAUAAGCACCGGCUAACUCCGUG
This 479-nucleotide ribosomal RNA is filed under the name uncultured bacterium. Its description in RNAcentral is "partial 16S ribosomal RNA". It matches the Rfam family "Bacterial small subunit ribosomal RNA", at positions 28 to 507 of the family's 1533-position model. The record is from RNAcentral.